Molecule: ribosomal RNA, 257 nt
Filed under: uncultured bacterium
Lineage: Bacteria
Description: partial 16S ribosomal RNA
Rfam family: Bacterial small subunit ribosomal RNA
Source: RNAcentral
UACGUAGGGUGCGAGCGUUGUCCGGAAUUAUUGGGCGUAAAGAGCUCGUAGGCGGUUUGUUGCGUCGGCUGUGAAAUCCCGAGGCUCAACCUCGGGUCUGCAGUCGAUACGAGCAAACUAGAGUGUUGCAGGGGGAGACUGGAAUUCCUGGUGUAGCGGUGAAAUGCGCAGAUAUCAGGAGGAACACCGGUGGCGAAGGCGGGGUCUCUGGGGCAACAACUGACGCUGAGGAGCGAAAGCGUGGGGGAGCGAACAGG